RNAcentral lists this ribosomal RNA (432 nucleotides) under uncultured bacterium. RNAcentral's name for it is "partial 16S ribosomal RNA". It matches the Rfam family "Bacterial small subunit ribosomal RNA", at positions 29 to 506 of the family's 1533-position model. The record is from RNAcentral.
AACGAACGCUGGCGGCAUGCCUAACACAUGCAAGUCGAACGAGACCUUCGGGUCUAGUGGCGCACGGGUGCGUAACGCGUGGGAACCUGCCCUUAGGUUCGGAAUAACUCCCCGAAAGGGGUGCUGAUACCGGAUAAUGUCUUCGGACCAAAGAUUUAUCGCCUUUGGAUGGGCCCGCGUUGGAUUAGCUAGUUGGUAGGGUAAAAGCCUACCAAGGCGACGAUCCAUAGCUGGUCUGAGAGGAUGAUCAGCCACACUGGGACUGAGACACGGCCCAGACUCCUACGGGAGGCAGCAGUGGGGAAUAUUGGACAAUGGGCGAAAGCCUGAUCCAGCAAUGCCGCGUGAGUGAUGAAGGCCUUAGGGUUGUAAAGCUCUUUUACCCGGGAUGAUAAUGACAGUACCGGGAGAAUAAGCUCCGGCUAACUCCGU